This 501-nucleotide ribosomal RNA is filed under the name uncultured bacterium. RNAcentral's name for it is "partial 16S ribosomal RNA". It matches the Rfam family "Bacterial small subunit ribosomal RNA", at positions 30 to 523 of the family's 1533-position model. The record is from RNAcentral.
AUUGAACGCUGGCGGCAGGCUUAACACAUGCAAGUCGAGCGGGGGAAGGUAGCUUGCUACCGGACCUAGCGGCGGACGGGUGAGUAAUGCUUAGGAAUCUGCCUAUUAGUGGGGGACAACAUCUCGAAAGGGAUGCUAAUACCGCAUACGUCCUACGGGAGAAAGCAGGGGAUCUUCGGACCUUGCGCUAAUAGAUGAGCCGAAGUCGGAUAAGAUAGUUGGUGGGGUAAAGGCCGACCAAGGCGACGAUCUGUAGCGGGUCUGAGAGGAUGAUCCGCCACACUGGGACUGAGACACGGCCCAGACUACUACGGGAGGCAGCAGUGGGGAAUAUUGGACAAUGGGGGGAACCCUGAUCCAGCCAUGCCGCGUGUGUGAAGAAGGCCUUAUGGUUGUAAAGCACUUUAAGCGAGGAGGAGGCUACUUUAGUUAAUACCUAGAGAUAGUGGACGUUACUCGCAGAGUAAGCACCGGCUAACUCUGUGCCAGCCGCCGCCGUAA